CAUUGUUUCUCUUUGUUAGCUGAAUGAGCAAAUGAAAGUAAAAUCAGAUGCAAUAAUGGAGGUCGAAAAGAAACAUUCAAAGGGGGGAGUUUUUCAUUUGUUUGAUUGGAAUGGUAAAUCUCGAAAGAAAUUGUUCUUGAACACUGCCGAAAUCUCAGGAGAAUCAAAGAGAGGAAAACCUGUGGAAAAUCUACUGAAGUCGCCGCCUUUUAUGGUGG
This is a long non-coding RNA of Hibiscus syriacus, 218 nucleotides long. RefSeq lists it as uncharacterized. NCBI's taxonomy places the organism in Eukaryota, Viridiplantae, Streptophyta, Magnoliopsida, Malvales, Malvaceae. The transcript is spliced from 3 exons. The record is from RefSeq and is a predicted model, not a curated record.